Solenopsis invicta (red fire ant) is the source of this 10659-nucleotide RNA transcript. It is a transcript of the gene named protein retinal degeneration B, with no coding region annotated. The transcript has 23 exons. NCBI's taxonomy places the organism in Eukaryota, Metazoa, Arthropoda, Insecta, Hymenoptera, Formicidae. The record is from RefSeq and is a predicted model, not a curated record.
CCGCCAAUCGAGCAGCCUCCUCCGGUCCGUUCCGUCAGUCGGUGGCGACGCGUCGCCGUGUUCGCGUGUUUUGUGUGUGUGCGUGUGUCUUUCGAUGUCACUCGGUCCCGUCGUCGUUGUCGUUGUCGUCGUCGUCGCCGUCGCCGUCGAGCCGCCCUUCCUUAGUAGUACCCUUCAAUCACGUCUCCCCGUCGUCCCCGUUGUGACAUCAUUGGCAUCAUUUGACGUCAUUGUUUAACCCUUUUAUCGUGACCAUCAGAUCCCACGUAUCCUCUCUACCGCGAAGCGAACUUUAAUCGGGGCACGAGGAAGAUGUAAAAACUCGAAAGUGUCUUCUCCGGAAACUACGUCGCACGUUGGCGGUGCCGUGAAUGAGGAUUACACUUGACGACGCAAAAUGGAGACGUCACUCGUGAUUCCUGGCGAGAAAGAUCUCUCGAGAUGUUGCGAAGACGUCGAACGCGGCAGCGCCUGGUAUCUCUGAAGGAGAGAUGCACUUUGCGAAGAUGCACGGGUGAUACAGGACAGGCUCCCACAAAAUGUUGAUCAAGGAGUAUCGCAUACCGUUGCCUCUCACGGUAGAGGAGUAUCGAAUCGCUCAGCUGUACAUGAUAGCGAAAAAAUCUCGGGAGGAGAGCAAGGGUGCCGGUAGCGGCGUGGAGAUAAUCGAGAACGAGCCGUACAGCAACGGUCCGGGCGGUAACGGGCAGUACACACACAAAAUCUAUCACGUGGGCAGUCAUCUGCCGGGCUGGUUCAAGAGCCUCUUGCCCAAGUCGGCGCUGAUCGCCAAGGAGGAAGCAUGGAAUGCCUAUCCGUACACCAAGACCCGCUACACGUGCCCGUUCGUGGAGAAGUUCUCCGUCGAGAUCGAAACCUACUACUUCCCGGACGACGGCAACCAGGAGAACGUCUUCAAUCUCACCGGCAGUGAUUACAGGAACAGGAUCGUGGAUUUGAUCGACAUUGUCAAGGAUCAGCCGUACGGGGCCGACUACGUGAAGGAGGAGGAUCCCAAGCUGUACGUGUCGGAAAAGACGAAGAGGGGCCCAUUAGAGGACACGUGGCUGGAGGAUUAUUGGGCCGAUGUGGAAGGAAAGCAACAGCCAACGCCGUCGGGAAAGUCACUAAUGUGCGCGUACAAGCUAUGCCGAGUAGAGUUCCGUUAUUGGGGCAUGCAAACGAAAUUAGAAAAGUUCAUACACGACGUAGCUCUGCGGAAGACGAUGGUGCGGGCGCACAGACAGGCCUGGGCCUGGCAGGAUGAGUGGAACGGUCUGACGAUGGAAGACAUCAGGGAGAUCGAGCGGCAGACGCAAUUGGCGCUGCAACAGAAGAUGGGUCUGAGUGACUUGGAGGACGAGCUCGAGGACGAGAAUCGGAAGGCGAGCGCGACGGCGACGACGACGACGUCGAUUACGACGGCAACGGCGACGCCGACGAACGCGACGAUGACGUCGGAGGAGUCGGCGGUAGCCAAAACGCUGGCGGCCACCCUGGGCAGCAUCGAGAAGAACGAGGAGGCGCAGAGCCCGCCGUCUGUCAGGAAGCCGUCCGACAUUCCCAUCAUCAACACGGCGGCUAGCUCCGAGGGCAGUCCCGAAGACUCGCCGAUCGAUCUGGAUGAGAUCAAAAAUGCGGCCGCCGCUGAAAAAGCUAAGAAGGAAUGGAUGAAGAACAACGUGCCCUUGCAUUCGCCGAAUUCGAAUAAAAAUUUCGACAUGCAGAUCGCCAACUGGAGGAUGGAGAGCAUUGUCAGGGAAUCGGAAUCCGGCAGCGACGACGAGUUCUUCGAUUGCCAGGCUGGGUUCAUUAUACCUGUUAUACGCAAAGAGGACUUUGAAGAUAGCUCUUCAUUAGCUAAAUGGAGUUCUUUGGAUCUUCUAGCAGAAGGGGAGGACACGACCGUACGGACUCCAUCUGCGGCAAACGAGCAAGAGGAUACAAUAUUUUCGCCUUCGUAUCUGCAACGUAUCACCAACGAACGAAGCAGUAAGAGAUUACAGAUCAGCACGUCGGCUAGUAUCGACGUGUCGUGUCCAGCGUCCCCUCAACACUCUCCUACGCAUCAACCAUGCAAAAUUACUGUUUUAAUUAUCGUGGUACACGGCGGCAGUGUUUUAGAUGCGAAUGUCGAUUUAACGGCGAAAAAGUCAGACAUAACGACAUUCCGCGGAGCUUUCGAAUCUGUCAUGAGACAGCAUUAUCCCAGUAUGGUUGGUCAUGUAUCCAUUAAAUUCGUCGCCUGUCCUUCCAUCUGUACCGAAGGCCUGGGAAUUUUGUCAAGUCUGAGUCCAUACAGCUUCGACAUGUCGCCUUCAUGCAUGGACGCUCCGCAAGUGACGCACGACACCAUUCCAAUUGGUGCGAUUCCGCUGUUGGCGAGCUCAAGUUCCGAAUAUCUAGAUACAGUGUCGCGCGUGGUGAUGAGCGCUAAUCAAGUGUACCAUGACUUUAUCAAAAGUGAUGAGGGUAAAGGUUUCAACGGACAGAUUUGCUUUGUGGGCGACUCGGUGGGAUCGAUCUUGUCCUACGACGCUCUAUGUAGAGCAACGCAACAUUCGCGACAUAGCAGCGAAAAUAGCAUUCUAGAAGGUAGUGGCCAGCAGGGUAAUGACAACAGCGAAGACGGUAAACAUCUAUCUGCACCGUCUCCUAGAAGAAGAUCUUCUGGCACGGGUGACAACAAGUUGGAUUUUGAAGUGGGUGACUUGUUUACGUUCGGUAGUCCGCUUGCACUAGUCCUCGCUUAUAGAAAGAUUGCUGCGUCUAACGACAGGAAUAGUUUCAUACCCAGGCCAUUAGUCAACCAAGUGUACAAUCUGUUUCAUCCCACGGAUCCUGUGGCCGCGAGAUUGGAACCCUUGAUCUCAGCGAGAUUUUCUUUGAUCGCACCGGUCAACAUUGCCCGAUAUCAAAAGUAUCCUCUCGGCAAUGGCCAGCCUUAUCACUUGCUGGAGACUAUCCAGACUAAUCCGCAGCUGUUUGCCGACGGAUUGAAUGUUCCCAAUUUUCAAAUGUCGCAUUUAAGAAGAUUAUCCGAUAUAUCAAUUCAAAGUACAAUGUCAGGAAUUAUCGACAAUGUUCCUUUACAGGCAGUGUCUACCCUGAUGCAAAAGUGGUGGGGCACCAAAAGACUAGAUUAUGCGCUCUAUUGUCCAGAGGGUCUCGCUAAUUUUCCUACAAACGCCUUGCCGCAUCUCUUCCACGCUAGUUAUUGGGAGUCUUCGGACGUAAUCGCGUUCAUUUUGAGACAAUUGGGCAGAUUCGAUGCGCCAUUGCUCGGCAAUGAGGAAAAAGAUCUCACUUGCUUCCGUCCAGGUCAACCCAGAGAAAAAUGGAAUAAAAAGCGUACCUCCGUUAAACUUAAGAAUGUUGCUGCCAAUCACAGAGCGAAUGAUGUCAUCGUGAGGGAAGGUGCACCACAAGUAUUAGUCGCUAGGUUUAUGUACAGUCCUAUUGAUGUGAUAACAUUAACAGGUGAGAAAGUUGAUAUCCAUAUUAUGAAAAGCUCACCGGCGGGCGAGUGGACAUACCUCACUACUGAGGUAACUGACAAGAAUGGUAGAAUAAUUUAUAAAAUACCAGAUGACAAAGCGCUAGGUUACGGACUUUAUCCAGUAAAGAUGGUUGUAAGGGGAGAUCAUACAUCUGUAGAUUUUUUCAUGGCUGUGAUACCGCCGAGAACUGAGUGUGUGGUUUUUAGCAUAGACGGUUCUUUUGCCGCUAGUAGGUCGGUGAGUGGUAAAGAUCCAAAAGUCAGGGCUGGUGCCGUCGAUGUUGUGAGGCAUUGGCAGGAACUGGGUUACCUCAUCAUUUAUAUUACCGCGAGACCCGAUAUGCAACAACAGACAGUAGUUUCCUGGCUGUCGCAGCAUAAUUUUCCUCACGGUCUCGUCUCAUUUGCCGACGGCCUGUCUAGGGAUCCGCUCGCCCACAAAGCCGCCUACUUGAAUAAGCUUGUGAAGGAGCACGGUAUGAUAAUCCAUCAGGCGUACGGCAGUGAGAAGGAUAUUAGCGUGUACACGGCGAUAAAUCUCAAAGCGAGCCAGAUCUUCAUCAUCGGCAAAGUAUCCAAAAAGCAUCAAGCAAUGGCGACAAUACUGUACGACGGGUAUGCCGCUCAUUUGAGCAUGCUGCAGGCGCAUGGGGGUUCGCGGCCUGCUCAGGGCAAUGCGCGCAUGGUGAUCCCCAGAGGUCAAUUCGGUUUACCAGGACAGAAUCCUUCCCUGCGUCGACGAAGAGUGUUUACUACCGGGAAAAACUGGAAAAACCUGAAAUUCUCAAGAUAUUUCUUCGAAAAUUAUGGAUUUUUAUGGAAUUUUAUUGAUACUCGAGGAAAUUUUUGUAAUCUUAUACUUUUAAAUUCUAUUUCUGACAAAAUUAUUUCUUUGCUCAUUCUUUCUUGAUAAUGCAAAAUGUCGACAAGCGAUUAAUAAUAAACAUGUAUACAUCCACGUACAUUUUCAUUAGAUUCGCGAGUUUUUAUAAAAAACCAAUGGGAAGACAAGUAGAAGACGGUACCUGAUUCUAAAUUGAUUCUGCGCGUUUAAUCAUCCUUUCAAAUUCUACACUUCCAAUGAGCUAGAACGAUUCUUGUUAUAUUUCCUCAAAUUUAAUAUUUAAAACUUAUCGUAAAAUAGAUUAUUCGAAAAUGUAUUAAAAAAUUCUUUAGUCCUGUCUAUAAGUUUGAAUAAAAUUCUUAGAAAAUCCGAGAAUUCUCAGGGAAUUCUUUUAUAUUUGAGUAAACACCCUGUUGAUUGCUCUCCACAGCUCCUGCGAAGAGUCAUGGCCUCCUUCGGCUUCUUUGCAAUUUUUAUAGGAAGGGAAGUCGUAACAGUCCCUCGUGCCCAUUCUUCACUCUGGAGAAAAUCCGGCUGUUUUAAAGCUCGCUUGUUACCGAAUUUAACUCAAUUAGCUUAAAUCAAUUGAUCCAAAUCGAGAAUGCGUCGGCGCCUAUGCCCUCCGCUUUUCCCCAAAUCUUUAUCGCAGAUAUCGCAGCGCGAUCUCUUACUGGUAAAAAGAUCAUAUUGUACAAAAUCAUAUUAUCUUUUCGCGCACGGAAACAAUGCGCAUUUAACAAAUCGCGGAAAUUGACAGCGGUCGGCUUACAAUGAGAUUUAUUAACGUCUGUCUUCGAAUCGCAUCGUCUGCACUAGCUGUCGUGCGCGAGGAAGGACGUUUGAACGAGGGAAGAGGGAUAAUUGAAUUAUAGAACGUUCGAUUGUGAAAAUCGACACGGUUGUCGCGAUUGCCAGUUGUCCGAUAGACGUUUCGUAAUCAACGUUUCGCCGCUUCCUCUUCGCUCUUCCCUUACGACCGGAUCUUUUUGCCAUUAACGCGCGCUGCACCGGGUCACGUCCCCAUGCUGUCUAGUCAGUAAAAGCGGAGACCCAUCGACCGUAUCUCGCUGACCAGUCUCUUGAUUGCAGGUACCUGCUAUGAGGAUAUGUCGCGUUGUCUCAACGUAGUUAAAUAUCACACUUCUCUGUCUCUAUCUCUCACUUGGCGAAAAAAGCUGUUGUCGCCAUACCUACGCUCGAACUCAUUGUUUGCCUAUCGGCUAGUACACAAUGUCCAGGAUCUGUGGUUAAUCCGCUCUAUGACCGCUCGCUAGAUACGCCCGGGAAAUAGAGUCGUUUUCGUAAUCCUCUCCGAAACGAACCGGUCUCACUUUAGCGACGAAGCUCUUUUAGGACGGCGAAGCGUGCGAUCUCACAGCCACCCUUAGGCAAGACAUCCUUCCCGUUGGAACGCUCAACGAGCGUGGGCCCAUCCGUCACGUCUGGAUCAUCGGCAUCGGCCGGCAUUCAUCAGUCAGCGACAACCGAGAAGCUCUGACGAUUUGCACGCUGCCGCUCAUUCUUCGAAUCGCGGCGGUAGCUUUCGAAGGAAGUACACGAUUCUUGGUUGCGUAUCCGCUAGUUUCUUUAUUCGUAAUACGAAAGAUCGUUAUAUUUUGUGAUAAUCUGUGACAGAUUUUUACGUCGUGUAUUCACGAUUCACAGAAACGGUCUCUCGCAGAUAUCUCGUAUUAUAGAUCUUUUACUGUCCUGUAGAUGACGUAUUUAGGUGUUGUCGUCUCAUUUCGUCGUAUCUCAUAUCGUAAAUCUCCUUGACCUAUUUUCGCAGAUUUUUAUGGUACUAUAGACACACUUUAGCCUUUUCGAUCUCGCAUAUUUUUAGUUUUGUACGUGAAGUGCUAGUUUUUAAUAAUCUUUGAAAUCUUGCGUUUUUAUUCCACCUUGCGCUUUGAUCGUUUUUUUAUUAUACUAUGUUAAUCUCCAAAAUUUGAGUUUCAAUUUAAAAAUCUCGAGAAUUGACGAUUAAAUGAAAAAAUUGACAUAGAUGAGUGUGCGUAAAUUAUUGCUCUAAAAUUUUUUAUCUAAUUCCUGGGAUAUUGUAAUUGUUUAUUUAUAUUUACCGUUCUAUACAUUUUGGUUAAAAUGUACAUUAUAAGUUAAAACGAACAUUAAGAUCUUAGCGAAAAUCGUAACUAAUGUUUAUAUCUGAAAAUUAAACAUUUAAUUUUUCAACAUUUUCAUUCAAAUAUUUUUAUCGCGUGUACACUAUGUUAAAAUCUCAUUUAACACUUGUUUUUUUUUUAUUUAUAAUAAGCAUUUCAAGCAGAACAAAGAUGAUCAAAAUAGAAAUUCUGAUUUCGAAUAUUUAUGAUGUCCCAGGAAAUUAGACGAAAAUCUUUUAGAUUGACGAUUACGUUCGCUUAUCUGCAUGAUUUUUCUAUGAUGACUUAUUUAUUUCUCAAUUCGAUUUUAUAGCUCUUUCGUUACAUAUAUGUACAAUUUUGAUUCCAUAAUUCGUUUUAACUAUUAUCUUAGUUUUACGAAUCCUUGUACAGCUCCUACUAUACGACUUCUGUUAUACGACCUUAGCACGUCUCUCGUAUUAUUCCAAUAAACAAAAUUUUGCUUAUAUAAAAGUUGUAUCCAAGAUUUAUCUUUUAUAUACUUUGUGCCACUUUUAUACCACAAUUUAUCAGUAAUCUCAUUGUCUACACUUGCAAAUACUUGUCUAUUCUAAGUACGUUUUCUUUCCUCGCUAUGUAAGUGCAAAGGCAUGAAUUAAAAUACCAAUGGAAUUUUUUGUUUAGCGGAAUAAUACGCCGAGAAUGAGAACUUGUUGAAACUGUUACCUGAGUCUCCCUGUUGUUAUUAAGGAGAAAUAACGUAAUGUUAACUGUGACGCUUAGAGAUAAUUAGCGUAAGAACUGUUAGCACUCUACUCAUUGCCAAAUGUUAUAUAGAGACGUAAUACGUAAUGCUCUGCAAAGUCCGCGUCAAGUUCUUUCAGGGCUAUUUUCUCGCGUGGAAUAUAUUCAUAUCGCUGGCAAGAAAGGCAAUCGUAAAACGAAGGAACAUGCUUGGUAACACUGAUUUACAGGUGUUACUUGUUUUACGCGAUUUUAUCCAUUUCACUUCACCGUUUCAUUCGUUCUAAGAAAAUUUAAUAUCCUACGAAUAUUAUUUAUCCACGAACACACACACACACACACACACACACACACACACACACACACACACACACACACACACACACACACACACACACACACACACACACAUACUGAGGAUAUAUAUUUUGUAUUAUUUAUAUAAUUAAAUUAGCUGACAAUGCGUAUAAUUUGUACUAAAGAAAAUGAUAUAAGACAAUAUUAAUGGGGUAAUUUGAAAAAUGACAGUGUGCUUAUUUAUAAACAAGAAUGCGAUAAUGAUGAAGCCAAAAAUAUUAAUUUGAGAAAUGAGAAAAGGAUCUUCUUUAAAUCGUUGUCUCUAAUAGAUUCAUCCUUUCUGAAUCUUUUUUUUUUUACGAUUCAGUACUUCGGGAAUAUUCUGGAAAAUAAUCGAGAGAAUUCGUGCGUUUAGUUGAGAAAGUUGGAAGCGUAUCAUACUUAUAAGACGAAGCAUCAAUGCCUAUAUAUAGACGCGCGCGCGCGACAACCGGUACAAAGCUACUCUUCUCUUAUUACAUAGUCGCGUAAACCUGUUACUGGCGAUGUAAAUACGUUUAGAGAUGUUGUGUAAAUAAGUACAUUAUCCGUGAAUAAAUGUUAGAAGAAGAUCGAGAUCAUAUUUACGUGACUGGCUGCUAGAUGCUUCGUCGAUGAAAGCGUGCCAAGCGGAGCGUGCGAGUCGGAGCUGAGAUGAAAUUGAUGCGCUGAUUCCCGAUAUGGAAUUCCAUUUCCCCGACUCUAUCCCGCAGAUCUUUUAUUCUUAGGGAGAAUCCUGAUAUCUUGCAGCGAUACAGUUCGCAGGAGUACAGUUCGCAGGAGAAAAAAAAAAGAGAUUCGUCUUAGCUCUGAAUCGCAAUGUUUAUUAAGUUAGCAUGCCAAUAUCAGCAUAUGAAACGUAUAGGAAGAUUUAGUGCCUUUAUGUGCUGAUUUUUUUUUUCUAAAAUAUAGUUAAAAAAAUUCAACUUGCUAUACAUAUUUUGACUCAUUAAAUACAUAAUUUAAUUUAUAUAUAUCUAAAUAAAAUAAAUUUUAUAAAAUAUGUAAUUAACAAAGUUGUAAUUUUUAUCAUUUGUCUUUUUACGUGCAAUUUUGUAGUUAUAAAAUUACAAAAAUUAAUUAAUAAUUAAUUUCACGAAAUUUACUUUCACGGAAUCCUAGUAAAACUUACAAAGACGUAUGUUUUUUUUUCUUUUUGGCAUGCUAGUUUAACGGACAUUGAAUCACAGUGAUGUGAUGGGAAUAGGAGUGACAUAAUCAGCGAUGUUUCAUUACGCUUAAAUCUAUCACAAUCAAUGUUAGAAAGUGGUAAAAUCUUUCCUACAGGCGCGAUUCGCUAUACACGGUGUUCCGAGUCUUGUCUGUGUGUAUCGAAAUUCCAUAAGUGUUCUACGUAUUUCGUGAUCUGUGUUUCAUAACGAAAACUGACAAUCCUAUUUUCUAUAAUCCUAUUCAAGAUUGAGAAAUAUAUGAAAUCUUAACUUUCAUUCUCACACUCAUCAUCUUUUAAACUUAAAUUAUCGUUUUAUUUUAUUAAUUAUUAAAAAAAACUAUAUUGUAUUUUUAUAUGUCUUGAAUGUAAUAUUAUUCGAGAGAAAUUAAUAUUAAUCUUCCUUGAUAAGAGUAGCUAAGAGAAAAAUGUUUGAUUAAAGUUUUAAAUUAUAUGUAAAUAAGAUAAAAAUUAAAGACACGAGAUAUUGUCUUGAUAUUUGACCUUCGUCGUUCUCGGGACACCCUGUGGAACGGAAUCAAGCGCGACGAGGGUGACGGAGAUUAAUUUGUUACCAUCGUACAUUUCUCGAUGAUCCGUCGUAUUAAUCUCCCGAGCUCUGAUUAAAGGAAGCAUUACGUAUUGCUCAAACUGCUAUACUAGCUGUGGUGCUUGCAUUACGCAAGUUAACAUUAUCAUUAAUAUUGACUGUUUGUAUUGUUGUAAUAUGGCAUGAGAAUAUAGUUCUAUAUUAUACAGAUGUCUACAUAUAUAAAUAUUAAAUGAAAAAAAAAAAAAAAUUAUGUAUACAUAUAUAAGUUGCAAACUUGAAUAUAAAUAUAUAUAUAUAUAUAUAUAUAUAUACACGAAUGCAUAUAUACAUUUAUGUACGCGUGUGCGUGUGUAUACACAAUAUGUAUAUAUGCAUUCCUGCGUAGUAUCCACGAAGUCCUGCGUCGGAAGGGAGGCUGCUUCCAUUUCCAUUCAGCUGUUGCGCUUUUCGGGAAUUUUUGGCAUCGUUGACGAGGAGACCUUCCCAGGUUCUGAACCCAAAUCACGAAACCCGUUAUAUCGCGGUCGAAGACGAGAAUCGCCCGGAAACGAAGAGGAGAGACGACAUCGAAGCGAGAUCAAUUUAAAGAUCGUUUGCGCCGACGCUUUGGGGCUUUUCUUUUCUAAUGUAUGUACAACAAUUGCGACUAAGAUUGCUUACUGAUAAUCAAGAUUAAUUAUUUUACUAACUUUAGAGAUAAGAGAUACCAAAUAAUUAGCUUGUAAUCGAAUCAAUCGCUUACGGUUAAGGCUAAUCGAUUACAGAUAGAUGUGCUGUAAAGUUAACAAUAAGAUUUUUAAUAAUCAUUAAAACUGGAUGUAAAAAAAAAAAAAUUAGUCAGUCGUGACUGAGGAUGAUCUAGUAACGCGUAGUUAAUUAGUGUCUUCUAUUAUUAUUGCUGGUUCUAUGGGCAAAACGGACGUUUUUAGAAUUUGACGGGGGCUAGGAUAAAGACGAAUUGAAUCGCUUGUGCAAAGUUGAACUGUAAAAGCGGUCUCCGUGAGACGCACGAUUUGGUGGACACUUCGUAGAUACAUAAGCGACUGCAAGAGAUAUUUUACUUAUAUACUAUAUUGGAGACGGACGAUCAUGUUGUACUGAGCGGUAUUGUAAUGAGAGUUAUAUUUUUAUUAGUAAACGUAACGUAAAAAAAAAUGACGUAUUGUAAUAAACUAACUGAAGAAUCAUUGUUUUGUAUUACGCGCUCUCGCUCUAGUGUGUAACAAUUGUUUUAUAUAUACAUAUAUGUAUAUAAUGUUGACGAUCACGGUUCGACUCGGCUUCCUCCCUCCCCCAUUCCGAGAUCGAACCCGCCGCAGCGAGACACCCGUUUCUUUUCCUAGUUAAGGGAGAUAAUGGAGAUGACGCUUAGCGGACAAAACUGUAUUCCACUUCCUUCAUUGGAUAUUAAUAAAUGAUAAAUCUAUA